CGUAUACUUUGAGAUAUAGGUGCUUUACGCUUAAUAGGGAAUCAGGUGAAAUGCCUGAACUGUCCCCGCAACUGUAUUUGCCGACGAAACUUUGGCUAAACCACUGUAUAAUCAGAUGGCUCUAUUGCUGUUUAUUAUAUGGGAAGGUUCGAGUGGAGGAUGACGCAAAAGUCAGUAGACCUGCCGAUAUCUCUUACAUUGU
RNAcentral lists this non-coding RNA (202 nucleotides) under Bacillus sp. (in: firmicutes). The record is from RNAcentral. Lineage: Bacteria; Bacillati; Bacillota; Bacilli; Caryophanales; Bacillaceae.